UUACCCAGGGUUUAGUUUUACAGUGUUUAAUACUCCUGGGUUUAUUAAGUUGGUCCUAAGAGUGAACAGUCACAUAUUUCAUUUUAGGCAAGUGGCAGGUAGAGACUGAAACCACCACCACCAGGAUGACGUGCCCAGGCCGGCAGGUGGGGCCCGAGGCGGGUGGGAUAGCACAGCAGGCAGACGGACACAGUGCGACGCGGCCACAGCGAAUCACUUUCUUGGACAGGCACAGAAGUAUUUAGACUUGGGAGGGCAGUGAGGCCGCCUUGCCGCCAUGAUCCGCACGUGCACAGCCGCCGUGGCUGAGACGGACCGACGGGGCAACCUUGGGAGGGCAAGGACAGUGCCGGCCCCUGGGCGUCAGGGUGGCCAUCAGGCCAAGGACGGCAUGUGAAGGUCUCUGUCACCAAAGCCAUGCAGGACCACCGCCUAGGGGCUGAGCCCAGGCCCCACGACAAGCGUAGUGGAGGCAAGAGACCACAGCCUGGACCCCUCUCCCCUUGACAUUCAGAAGGAGCCCAGGCAGUCCCUUCAAGAGGAAAACCCGCCACUGCCGAGAGGGACCGACACGGAGGAGGCGCUGCUGCCGUCCUGGCCCUGGGCACACCACGUGAGCAGUCUGGGGCAGCACCGACCUGGCUCUCCAGAGGCAUGUUGUAGACCUCCGAGU
Vicugna pacos (alpaca) is the source of this 673-nucleotide non-coding RNA. The record is from RefSeq and is a predicted model, not a curated record. Lineage: Eukaryota; Metazoa; Chordata; Mammalia; Artiodactyla; Camelidae.